CAGUAACACUAAAAUCCUUCAAUAUAACAUUUACAUGCUAUAAAUCGUCCAAAUAUUCAAGCCAAAGUACAAACCAAAGGAAAAGAACUUAAACGAUUAGUACCAUAAUACAGUGUCGGCCAAAUACAAACUCAAGAUACCCUAAUACAGUGUCGGCCAAAUACAAACUCAAGAUACCCUAUUACAAACCAUUACUAUUCUUGUCUCUCUUAUCCCCGCACCCUGUUAAGGAAAACAAAUAACGAGAUGAAUUAAAAGCCUAGUGAGGUUCCAAGAAAACAACAAACCAUCUAUCAGGCUUUAUAAAAUUCACAUCAUGGCAUGAUCACAUAUUUCAUGAAGCAAGCAAUAUCCAGAUAAAUCAUUUAAUAAUAUAUAUUCAAUAACAUAUUCACGUAAAAGGAUACCAUUUGCUCUUGCGAGCCAAUUCAAUCUGCUCUUGCGAGCCAAUUUAGUAGCAACAGUAUGCUCUUGCAAGCCAAUUCAGUAGAAAUUUGUUUAGGAUCCGUUGACACUCUGUCAACCUUAGGAUAUAGUAACAAGCCCAAUAGAGUUCCACUUAUCUCUAAUUUCCAUCCACCGUUCAACCCUUUACUGGGCCUGAACUCCAAACAUAACAGUAGAAGUAAUACUCGAGUAUACCAAAUUCAAUGGAUCCAAUCCAGUGGAAUAACAGUAAACAGUACCCAUGGUUCGUCAUUCUCCUCGACCAAACCCUUAUUGGUUCGAUUUGACUAACUAGCUAGUGGGGUUUGGGAUCCCAAACGGUGAGUAUAGUCGAUAAGAUAACAUCUCCAACCAACUUACAAGUCAUACACAUGUAUAUCAGUUCACUUGCAAAUAGUUCAUUUAUAAAUAGGAUAUCAAGAGCUCAGUUAAAUUAGGUCGAGUGCGAUAAGAUAUACACUCGCCUAUUCAUUUGCAGUUCAAGCAUUUACAAUUCAAGACAUAUAGCGGUAUCAAUCAACUAGGCACAUUAAGCAUUAUUUAGUAAAGUCAGGUUGAGUGUGAUAAAGUACAUACUCGCCUACGCAAUAAUAAGCGAAUUCAAGCAACAAGUCAUACUUGAUCAACAAGUAGCAUGGAACAUGCAAUUGGAACACUUACCCAUAUAAUGAGAAUUUCACAUUCCAGUACCGGGCUCACGUUCUCGCCCACUUUCAAGUCCUAAAACCAAAAGAAUGUAUCAAAAGUGCACAAUUUCAAACUACCACAUUUGAGACAUGUCAACUUCCAAAAACUCAUUCAAAAGAUCACUAGAUUUUCGUGUUCAAACAAGGGAAAAAUCAUGUGCAAAUUAAUCAAUAGUUGUCAGUGGUAUAGGAGCAAAAGAGAUCGAUUAUGGCCAAGGGAUUUGAAGAACAUUGGACAAAAUUUCAUCCCUUCUCUCGGUUCCAAAACUAGAAAUGUACCAUCAAGAAAAGGAAUUCGAAAGGUGAGUUUAUUUCCACUUAAAACACUUGGUGUUUGCUUAAUAAAUCACACAUAUAUGUGAAAGUAAACUCUUAUACAAUAUAUAGAAAAAAUUUGUCCAAGGUCACCACGAAAUUUUGAAAAUAGACACGAAAAUCCUUUCUUUCUCUCCCUCGGCCAAACACAAUUCCUAGCAAACACUUUCAAAACUUUUGUCAAGAUCCAGCUUUUCACUUGUUCAAAAUACCAAAAUCAUAAUAUCUUUCACAUCCAGCAUAGAAAGAAACAUAUAGCAUAAGUUGUUAAUAAAGAAAUCCAUCAAUCUCAAAGUAUACAAUUAUGAGUUUAAAAUCAUGAAUUUUCAGCAAGGAAAGUUGAAAUUCGUAGCACUCGAGUACCUUUGAAACUGGAAUUUUUUAGCAAGUAUCGUUCCUUUGAAAAAUCAUAACUUGAGUUAUAAAUGUUAAAAAAACAUAUAACUUGCCCCAUUAAAAAUUAGACUUGAAGUACUAACAAUCUUUCAAAGACACCUCAAAGAGAUUAAGUUCAUAAAUUGGUCCAAAUUGAGCCGCAAUUUACUACAACAUUCCAGUUUUUACUUGUGCAGAGUAGAAUUUUCAGUCAAAUUUACCAAUUUUCUGGUGCAUAUAUAAAUGGACCACAGCUCAAAUUUUAUACCAUGGAAAGCUCUCUGAGUCUAGUUUCAAACACAAUUGAUGGCACUCAAAUUUGAUUUUUUUACACUGAGUUAUGAUCAUUUUACUAAAACUGUCCAAAGGUGACUGUCACCUGAAGUUCUAAGCUUUAACUUGUUUGAAAAUACUAAAUACAUAACAUGUAAUAUAUCAAACAUAAAAUGAAACAAUUAGCAAAAAUCUGUUUCUGGUGCGUACCUAUUUUAGCCAAACAUUUCACCAAAAACUUCACAAAAUAUGUCAUCAACUACCACAAUAAAUCUGUCAUUAGCUAAGCAGAAUUUCCAGCAAGAAAAUUUGAAACUUUUCUUCACCAAAACUCACUCUUUUCUGGCCAACCUCAACUUAGAUCCUUAAAGCUUAAAAAAACAUGGAAGAAGGAAGGAUUUACAGCCCUUUUUACCUCUUUUCCCUCAAGAAAUUGAAGUUGGAAAUUGAAGAAUCAAGGCUGGUAGCUCUCCAAUCUUUUCCUCUCUCUCGGGGCUGCAACAACAAGGAUGAAGCGAAGUUUCUCCAAUCUUUCUCAAGCACUUUCCCCUUGGUUGUGAAAUUGGUCAUGGAUGAAAUCCCUCAAGCUCCCCUCAAGUUUCCCCCUCGGUUUCAAGACUUAGAAAAGUAACAAAACUGCUUACUCACCACUCAAUUUCUCGGUUGGAACAAGCUUGGAAUGUUGGAGCUUUUCUCUUCUUGAUUUGUUGGGAAAAGAUGGAAGGAGGUAAGGGCUACUCUUUUAUGCUUCUCAAGUUUCUCAAUUUUCCAGCUCAAGGAGGAGAAUUUUUUCAAGCUUUCUCCACUCUUUCUCGGCUCUCCUCUAGGGAAACAAGAGGAACAAGAAAACAAGGAAAGAAAGGCUGGAUUUGGGCCCUCUUGGUUGCAAGA
This 2987-nucleotide long non-coding RNA is filed under the name Coffea arabica (coffee). RNAcentral's name for it is "long non-coding RNA (CARA_LNC005094)". Lineage: Eukaryota; Viridiplantae; Streptophyta; Magnoliopsida; Gentianales; Rubiaceae. The record is from RNAcentral.